Mesocricetus auratus (golden hamster) is the source of this 1610-nucleotide long non-coding RNA. RefSeq lists it as uncharacterized. Lineage: Eukaryota; Metazoa; Chordata; Mammalia; Rodentia; Cricetidae. The record is from RefSeq and is a predicted model, not a curated record. The transcript is spliced from 3 exons.
CCAGAACCAGCGGACACUCCAAUGCUAUAGCUCCAGUUCUGUAUCCAGUGCUAUAGCUCCAGGGGCUACAGAACCACUGCAAAGUCCACCCCGUUCCAGUCUCGAGCUAAACACAGCUCUGAAAGAUCAUUUCCAGGCCUCAGCAGGACAGUGGGGCCAGAGCAGCUGCUCAAUCUGCAGCAAGCACAGGGUCCUGGGUUCCUGCAACGCAAAAGUCGGGCAGGGCAAUGCACCCCGGGACCCUGUUAUUACAGCCAAGGCCCAGAGAGGCUUCAGCAGUUCCUGCCCCCAAAGACACUAGAAGCUGAGAAGACACUGAUCACUUUGACGCUGCCACACUUCCUUCGGAGCAGAGACAAAUAUCUGGAUGUUCAAGUUGCACUGAAACCUGUGACAGGGACACAGCCUUGUCCGGGAAGUUGUGGGAAUGGGACAUCGGGGCAUCCUUUGAUCCCUGUUGUGCUGAUCGGCUUGAGGAACUCAGGAACUCACAAGCCCCUGCUGGAUACCCGGAUUUUCUCUUCCAGUCAACAAGGAAGAGGUGGGAACAGGUCUACACCUGAAGACACCAGGCUUCCUGAGUCUCUUGACCUGUGACAUCAGAGCUACUCUGACGGGUCCCCUUGGCCACCUCCUUUCUUAGAUCUCCGAGUGUGGACAGUUCCAAAAGUGUAACUCUGCAAGAACCAAACCCAGGGAGGCAAGGAUGAGCGAGACACACCACCUUUCACAAAGUCGAUUUCUAGGGGGGUUUAUUGAGAUCUCGAACGACGGCUUCCUUCAGCUAACCCUUCUGUGGCUGUUUUAGGAAAUGCUGAUUUUCUUUCUUUCUUUCUUUUUUUAAGUGCCAUUCAUAGAAACAUGUGCUGGGUUUAUUGUUAUUACUUUGAAAUGAAUGUUUUAGGCAUUUGUCUGUUUUGGUUUUCUCGUGUGGUUAAAAAAAUGGUACACAGAAUCAUAUGAAUAAGAUCUCCUGUGGGUUUUAAUUACAGUUGAAAAUGAAACCAGGAAAAUGGCCCGGCAGCUAACUGUGCUUGCCACACAAACAUGAUGACCGCCUGAGUGAGGGUCCCCAGCACCCAUUUCAAAAGCCAUGUGCGCCUUUAGUCCCGCUGCUGGUGGAGUAGAGAGGAGAUAGGACAAGCUACCAGCCUAACCAAAAAAACAGGGAACUCCAGUUUCUGUGAGAGACCCCGUCUCAAAGGAGUAGGGUGGAGAGUUAUAGAGGAAGCACACACCUACACACACAUGCACACGCACAUACACUCCACCACCAUCACAUGCACACGCACACUAAAGGAGCACUCCCCAUGCCAAGGUAAAAAACUGAGCUCAUAAUCCCAGGAAGUCACUUUUGGGGGGAUUACAGAGGCCAAGUGGGUGCCCCUGACAUCAGACACCCAGUGCCUCACCUGUGUUUGCAAAAACAGCUUGUCUAAGGAAAGCAGCUAACUUCUUCAUUCUGGUUUCUUAACCUUAGCUACGAAGACCUCAGUCUGAAGCACUAAGCUGGGGUCCUCUGGACUCUGGUCAUUGUGUGUUCUGUGCCUUAAUCACAGUGUGGCCAUAACUUGAGACACCACCUCUUGCAUUAAAGAAAGUUUUCUCUA